Long non-coding RNA from Brienomyrus brachyistius, 3664 nucleotides. RefSeq lists it as uncharacterized. The record is from RefSeq and is a predicted model, not a curated record. The transcript is spliced from 4 exons. Lineage: Eukaryota; Metazoa; Chordata; Actinopteri; Osteoglossiformes; Mormyridae.
GCCGCUUCUUCAUGGUUAUCGAUUGUCCAACCGAGUCGAGAUUGUAAUGGAGGCAAACAAAAAGCGUAUGGCUUGCGAGAUUAUGGAGUUUUUUGAACGUCUUCUUCGCGAGGAAUGGGUCAGAAAUCCAUUUCCAUUGCAAAUUGCUCAUUCCCACGGCACGGGGUGAUUGAAAACGGCCGGGGUUAUACUCAAGAAAAUGGGACUUUCAUAGUUUUCAUAGCAAUCUGCGAGCGGUGAUCAAUAGGCGCUCCCCUCGUAAUGGGUUUUGCUCUGCAGUCACUGCAAGGGGGCAUUUCAGCGCACGCAUCGCCAUCAGCAGCGGCACCGGGACACCAGAGAACAGGGACGCAAAAGACCGUUUACCGCCAUCCGCCCAUCUGCCACUGUUUCGCCCGGCCGCAGUGCUGACUUUGUGUUUGGUCUGUGUCACAUAGACAUCUGAUGGAUGGUCACAUCGCCGAUCACAUGCAGACAUUUCCUGAGUGAGGCUGAAGGGAAUCCGCGCACAUCUUUCUUUAAGAACUGGGAUUUUGCUGGGAAACGGGCAAGCGCACGUGCACCCCCGGUGGGCAAAGCUGCAGGUGAGGUGGGACUCGGAGGCUGACGGCGAUGCCGGCUGCUGCCACAAUGAGACACCCUCCUUAAUGAGCAGAUGGAGAAACAAAGACAGAAAGUAGAUGCCCCUGUUGAGGGGCCAGGAGAGGCCCGGAAGUACUUCCUGUUGGCACGUACCGUCGCCCAUUUCACGGGCAUAGGAAGUAACACAUACUGGCAUGUACCAUUCUGUGUAAUAAAAUGAAUAAAACCUCUCAUCCCUCCACCUUUAGGCUAAGUGGAAUCUUCUCUGGCCUGGAUGUUCAAGGGAGCCCUGUGUUACGGUGAAAGACUAAUGGCAUGAAGGACCCGCAGUCGUUUUUAUUCCCCAGUUUUACUUGAGAAGACCAGGGGAAGUGUAAACAUGAUGCCAUGCCACAUCCCCAACAGGUGCCACACCCCUGGGACGCCAUGCCACAUCCCAGGUCCUGUGCCACCUUGCAAACAGGUGCCACACCCCUGGAACACCAUGCCACAUCCCAGGUCCUGUGCCACCUUGCAAACAGGUGCCACACCUCUGGAACACCAUGCCACAUCCCAGGUCCUGUGCCACCUUGCCACCAGGUGCCACAGCCCUGGGUAUAUAAGUCCAAAUUUGAAAGUACCAGGCCACGUGUCCAAGCACUUACUCUCUUCUUCUCCAUGGCGACUCCCGACACGUGGCGUGCCCCAAAGUUGGGUUGGCGGUUGAGGGUGAAGUACGCCUCGCGGUGACUCCUACAGAGCAACAUUAGCCUGGAAAUACUAAUGCAUCUUAAUGGAUAUUCAAGAAGUGGAAGUAUAUUAAACAAAUCACAGAAACACCCCAACUGUGGUUUGCGGUGAAAUGCCCCACCUCCCUCCGUGUAAUCCCUCUCCCUGAGUCAAGGGGGCUUUUAUUACUUUUCAUCCGGCCUCUCACACGCUCUUCACCAUCAGCAUAAAAUGCAAUCACUUGAUGUAGGGUCCAAGAGAAGCUUUGUCCUCGCCAACAUUAAUGCAAACAGCAGUAAGAGCCCACGGCUCUCGGCCCUGCCGGGCGAACAGGAGGAAAGGCUCGUCAGCAGGAUUCAAGUGUGAGAGAUCUGUCCGCCGGAGGAGAAACCAUAUCUGCCAUGUCAUAAUUCACGUCUCCUGCCGCUUCCUUAAAAAACGCGACCAUUCCCUGUCUUCCAUUGCUGCGGCAGUGCGGCUGAGUUCAGGCAAGUGGAAAACGUGGUAUAAAGGAGAGAAAUUCUGCCCGAAAGCGUAUCCCAAGGAAACCGCAUGACGCGCACCUCUCUUCCGAAACACACAGGGCCCCUCAAUAUUUUAUCCACCCCAUUUUUGGUCGUACUUUUCCCUCAGCUCUGAUUUUUUGGUUUUCAAAGUGAUAUUAAAGGUUUAAAACUGUAUGUAUCCCCCGAUACAUUAUUAUUGUACAGCUCUAGUUAACUAUAAAUCAAAGCGCUGGACCGAUAUUUGCAUUAAAAAAUCCCUUACUGGUUUCCAGUCACAGCCGUGACCUAUGCACCAGGGAACACGCUAAUGCAAAUUCCUUGCUCAAAUGGAACAUGCUUUAACAGGUGUACGCGUCCUACGCAAGAAGACAAUGGGAACUACCUCAGAAAUCCAAGCAACAUGGCGUUACCGGUCUCUCUGUGCAAGAAGACAUUUAAAUGACACUAAAAUGUAUCACGCCACUAUAUGUUAGCGCCAGGCUACGCGCUCCCUUAGGUUUCUCAGGCAGAUGAGUAGAAUUAGAGAAUGAUGAAAGCAUUUGCAAUCAAUCAAACAAUUAUUCCACAGCGAGUAUAUACUGGUCUUUGUCACAGACAUUUUUUUAAUAAUACAUACACGAACCGUAUUAAAGGAAAUAGCGCUUGGUGAUGAAGCCAAGUGGUAAAAAGCUGUAGUUUACAUAUAAAACCGAGCGAAUUCCGGACAUUUGAGAUAUUUCAUGAUUUUAACAAAAGGCAGCUUAAGAGCGAGUGCCGGUUUAUCACUGGACGAGCAUCGGAUGUGCAUGCACACAUAAGAAGGAAUUAUGCAUGUAAUGCAAUCAGCCCACGGCCUCUGUCGCAUUACAAGCAGCAUUUUCCCGGCCUCCAUUAAGAUGUAAUCUGCUCAGCUGGUGGAAACGCCACGGCCAGAACGCCUGGCGCGAUUGCAGGGAAACGGCGUCUGCUUCAGUGAGCCGGACAGGCCGACCUCGGUCCGGAGUGUCGCAUCAACGAUUGCCUCUAAAGCCCUGAAAGAUUCUGUGGUGUCAUGGUGUUAUGCAUUUGUGCAAAAUUACCCUCAACAACAGUGCUUUCGUAUGUAAACAAUUGACAGUAUGUAAUUAUUUAUGUACUCUGAUUGUCCUCUCACCUGAUCUUAUAAACAUUCAGUUUGGCCCUUUGUGGGUAUACAUGCAUGCAAUGUGCUACCUGUGCUCCAGAGAGUAUGGACUAUUUAAGAAAGAGCAGGUGAGCGCUUCUGCAUUCAGACACAGAGCGUGGCGAGCUGUUUAGCACCAGUGCCUAGAUCGCCUGGCCGCAAUCACGGCCCGUUACUCUCCAACACUAGAAAAUUAGAUUAUGUCAGGGCUGAAUUUAUCCUCUAACACAAAGUGAAAUCUCUCAGUAGCCUGCAGUUUGUUUUCUUCUUCUCCUGCCAGGGAACGUAACAUACUUGGGGUAUAAUUGUUCGGUUUUUAAGAGCGAUCACACGUUCGACUCUUCAUGUCAGGAGCACAUGGCUGUGGGACAGCAUGCAGGCACCACGAGGGUCAACCCCGACAGCUUCCUCUUCAUGGCGACGACGAUGAGUACAGUAAAAUUAAAUAUAGCAGAAAGAAUACAAGGCCACAAAGGGCAAUAAACUAUACGACAAAGAAUAAAUAUAAGACUGAUUAAAUAUAACUCACAUAACCACUUGUGCUGUUUUAAAUUAUAAACAGAACAAGAUUUGAUGCAUGUUCCAACAUAUUCUUCCCCAAACAGGCAUGCAUCUGCCUUACAAAUACCACUGGAAUUUUACAAAAUGUACAAAUAUGGAUUAUUAUGUAUUUGCUGAAACUGAUUCAAUUUUAUUUGCAAAUGUAUUGCACAUGUACGCUCAAAAA